This is a long non-coding RNA of Chrysemys picta bellii (western painted turtle), 1947 nucleotides long. RefSeq lists it as uncharacterized. The record is from RefSeq and is a predicted model, not a curated record. NCBI's taxonomy places the organism in Eukaryota, Metazoa, Chordata, Testudines, Emydidae.
GUUUGAGGUAGUUGGACUCUCUCUCCCCCUUGUGUUCCCCAUCGGCAGACGGGCUGCCACACGAGAGCCACACGCAGCUUUGGUAAAGUCUGAUAGGGUCUUUGUCCCACUGGCUCAUCUCCUUGAAUAGCUGUUAAGUCAUGCAUACUGAAACUUCUCAACCGUUCAGUUAUUGCACCUUGACCCUGGAACACAAUAAUAGCACUUUUCAAGAACAAAUGGAGAAGCCUUUAGAUUUGCUCUUCAAAUUGAGAUGUAGUUACCUCAACUUGAUUGAAGGAAGACAGCAGAAAGAAGCCAGAAAUCCUGUAAACAGUGUGAUUACCAGCAAGAAAAUGCAACAAAGACAGAAAAAAAGAAUGUUGAUCUUUCACUAGUAGCUUGAACGUAACAUUGUAGUCUAUAUUUUAAUUUACCACUCAACUGAUAGCCAUAAUCCAAAAAUUUACAUGCUAUUUUAAAACUAACAGACAUAGUAUAAAAAUACUCACAAAAUUGCAAUCCUUAAAUUACAUCCCCCUAUUUUUAAACAUGUUACUUUUAGAAUGAAUUCUUUGAGUUAAGAUGGGUAAAUACCCAAUACCACUUUGCUUUUUUGUCCAUAAUAUUUACCCUGAACAGUUUAAUGUAAGUGAAAUUUACCUUUGCAGCAGCAGUCACUGCAGCAGUAGCUGCCAAAUUUAAACCCUGUCUCCCAAAAUUCACCAUAGUUUCAUAACCUCGUUCUUUGGCUUGUACAAUAUACUCAUCGAUCUCCUAAAAAACAAAAACAGAAUACAUAUUUAAAUUUGCACACAAAAUCCCUAAAAGUCAUGAAGCUGUAUUACCCCAUAGCAUUAUUUUAUCAUCAAAAUUUGGAUGGAAGACUUGAAGGUAAAAUAUAUUUAUAUUUCAACUUAUAUUAAGUGUAUUAGCCUACGUCUACACUAAAGACCUUACAGCAGGACAGCUGUACCGAUGCAGCUGCACCACUGUAAGCUCUCUCAUGUAGCCGCUCUAUGCCAACAGGAGAGAGCUCUCCUGUCAACAUAAUUAAACCACCCUUAAUGGGAAGCGGUAGUUAUGUCGGCAGAAGAAGUGCUGUUCACGCUACCACAUAUGCCAGUGAAACUUGUCAUUCAGGGAAGUGUUUUUUCACCUAAGCAACAUAAGUUUCACUGGCAUAUGUGGUAGUGUAGACAUGGCCUCAGUUAAUGUAUUAACGUUUUAAGCACAAAAAAUAUUUAAUUCUUGCAUUUAAUGCCAAACUUUGAAAAUAAUCAUUUCUUACUCGUUCCUUUGAAGAAAGAAGAGGAUGGAGAAACUUCCUAUACAUUAAACUUGCCCCUCUAGUAUAUGGAGAGAGCAGCCAAAUAACAAAAGCGAUCUUCAACUCAUAAUACAAUGGAAACCUGCAGAUAAAACAUUAUGCAAGUACUAUGAUAAGAAGGUAGAUGUUAAUUAACUACCAAAAACAAAACUUUGCAAAAAAAAACCAAACUGGUUACACAUUUUUUACAACAAAAUGUUACACUAUCUUUUCAUCUAAGGUUAAUAAUAUCAAUAUUGAUUAAAAAUUAACUAUUUAAUAGAUGCAUAUCUGUUUCAUUGACUUAUUUGGUUUUCAUUUAAUGUAAUACCAUCAAAAGCAGAAAGGGUAAGAGAUUUAAAUAAAAUCUUUCCAUGUUUUCUUGCAUUAUACUAUUUUAUUUAAGACACCAGAUUCCUUUUGCAUGAGUUUUACAACUCCAUUCUCUUCUCUUGUGCUUUACUGCAUGGGUAGCAUUUUUCUAUUCCUACUCUUUAAGGAAUUAAAAGACACCACAAAUUUAGAAAUGGGGGACACUAUUCAUUAUGCAAGUUCCUUACAGCCGUUCUUGGAAACGUCACUUAUAAAUACAAGUUGGUAAUUGUAUUCUCUUCGCUGAAUUAAAUCAUCAGAAAAAAAUUAUAUCAUCCCAUGUUCCA